RNAcentral lists this ribosomal RNA (471 nucleotides) under uncultured bacterium. RNAcentral describes it as "bacterial SSU rRNA". It matches the Rfam family "Bacterial small subunit ribosomal RNA", at positions 441 to 902 of the family's 1533-position model. The record is from RNAcentral.
CGGGACGAAAAAGGGAUAUCGAACAAAUAUCCCCGAUGACGGUACCGUNAGAAUAAGCCAGGCUAACUCUGUGCCUAGCAGUCCGCGGUAAGACAGAGGUGGCAAGCGUUUGUUCGGAAUUACUGGGCGUAAAGAGUCUGUUAGGUGGUUUGUCAAGUCUUUGGUGAAAGGCCGUAGCUUAACUAUGGGAAUGCCAAAGAGACUGGCAGGCUGGAGGCUGGGAGAGGGAAGCGGAAUUUCUGGUGUAGCGGUGAAAUGCGUAGAUAUCAGAAGGAAGGCCGGUGGCGAAGGCGGCUUCCUGGAACAGUCCUGACACUGAGAGACGAAAGCGUGGGGAGCAAACAGGAUUAGAUACCCUGGUAGUCCACGCCCUAAACGAUGGGUACUAAGUGUGGAGGGGUUAAACCCUCCGUGCCGCAGCAAACGCAGUAAGUACCCCGCCUGGGGAGUACGGCCGCAAGGUUGAAACUC